UACGUAGGGUGCAAGCGUUGUCCGGAAUUAUUGGGCGUAAAGAGCUUGUAGGCGGUUUGUCGCGUCUGCUGUGAAAUUUCGGGGCUCAACCCCGAACUUGCAGUGGGUACGGGCAGACUAGAGUGUGGUAGGGGAGACUGGAAUUCCUGGUGUAGCGGUGAAAUGCGCAGAUAUCAGGAGGAACACCGAUGGCGAAGGCAGGUCUCUGGGCCAUAACUGACGCUGAGGCGCGAAAGCUAGGGGAGCAAACGGG
This 253-nucleotide ribosomal RNA is filed under the name uncultured bacterium. RNAcentral describes it as "partial 16S ribosomal RNA". It matches the Rfam family "Bacterial small subunit ribosomal RNA", at positions 524 to 776 of the family's 1533-position model. The record is from RNAcentral.